This 301-nucleotide ribosomal RNA is filed under the name uncultured bacterium. RNAcentral describes it as "partial 16S ribosomal RNA". It matches the Rfam family "Bacterial small subunit ribosomal RNA", at positions 509 to 807 of the family's 1533-position model. The record is from RNAcentral.
CAGCAGCCACGGGAAUACGUAGGUGGCAAGCGUUGUCCGGAAUUAUUGGGCGUAAAGCGUGCGCAGGCGGUUAUAUAAGUCAGAUGUGAAAUCCCCGGGCUCAACCUGAGAACUGCAUUUGAGACUGCAUGGCUAGAGUGUGUCAGAGGGGGGUAGAAUUCCACGUGUAGCAGUGAAAUGCGUAGAUAUGUGGAGGAACACCGAUGGCGAAGGCAGCCCCCUGGGAUAACACUGACGCUCAUGCACGAAAGCGUGGGGAGCAAACAGGAUUAGAUACCCGCGUAGUCCCUGUCUCUUAUAC